This 1055-nucleotide long non-coding RNA is filed under the name Canis lupus familiaris (dog). RNAcentral describes it as "lncRNA (ENSCAFG00040000119.1)". The record is from RNAcentral. Lineage: Eukaryota; Metazoa; Chordata; Mammalia; Carnivora; Canidae.
GUCCUCGCGCCGAGCCCCUGCGCGGGGCAUGAGGAGCCCCGGGGCGCCGCCCGGAGACGGAGAGGACCCGGCUGCGCGCACACCUCGCCAGCGGCGGACGGGGACAUGAGCGGCGCGCGCGGGCUCCGGGGCCCGGCGGCCAGCCCCAGCCCGCGGCGGCCAGCGGGUCGGCGCUGCCCGGGAGAAUGAGGCAGGAGCCCGCGGCAGCCUCCUCCUCCUCCUCCUCCUCCUCCUCCCCCUGCUGCUGCUCUUCGCCUUCCUCCGGCUCCGGCGCCCCGGGCCCCGGCCGGGCUGUGGCUCUGCUGCGUGCCCCGCGCGCCCCCCGCCCGCCUCCGGAUGCGCUGCUCGCUCUGAAGACUCUGCCGUAGAACUUUGGAUUCUGACGUUCUAAGAUUGCUUCACUAUUAAAGAGAUGUGUGAACUCGGCUUCAAUGGAGCGCUCUGGGUUGGUGUUGGCUGGGCCACCAGAACUGGGCAACAGUUCUUUUGUAUCCCACCUCCCUCUGGAAAACUCAGCGGGCAUGCCACCAACCCCGGCUGCCCAGCUGACUCAUCCACCUUGGGAAGGCGGACGGGUUGGCCUUGAACGCCAGCCUCUGCCAGCCCCUCUGGCCCCUGCUGGUCCACGUGCGACAUUCCACUCCACUUUCUCCCACCAGCUGUCCACGGAAUGCCGUCCACGCCGGCUCCCACUGUGUGUGGCUGGCCUGCUGUGCGCGCCAGAAAUCUCCCAGCUCCAGAAUGGAUGGAGAGGACCCCCCCUCGUUUUACCAAUGGAGAAACUGAGACCCAGAAAGGGAAGGAGACUGCCAGGUCCUAUACAGGGCAACAGAGCCUGUUUUCAAAACCUGGCGUCAGAAGCCAGGUACCUGCUUGGUUUGGGGCAUCCUCUGUUCCACGUGGUGAGUUUCGUUUUCCCAGGGGUGGCGACCCCAGGUACACACCUGGCAGACGUCUUGCUGCGGGAGUCAGCCUGGCUGGCAGCCCUGGCUGCCGCCCCCUUGGAUCCACUGCCACAUUCUCUCCGGGCCACAUUCCUGCAGCCCCGUGACUGA